CAGUCGCCACGGUAAUACGGAGGGUGCAAGCGUUAAUCGGAAUUACUGGGCGUAAAGCGCACGCAGGCGGUCUGUCAAGUCAGAUGUGAAAUCCCCGGGCUUAACCUGGGAACUGCAUUUGAAACUGGCAGGCUAGAGUCUUGUAGAGGGGGGUAGAAUUCCAGGUGUAGCGGUGAAAUGCGUAGAGAUCUGGAGGAAUACCGGUGGCGAAGGCGGCCCCCUGGACAAAGACUGACGCUCAGGUGCGAAAGCGUGGGGAGCAAACAGGAUUAGAGACCCCUGUAGUCCCUGUCUCUUAUAC
RNAcentral lists this ribosomal RNA (301 nucleotides) under uncultured bacterium. Its description in RNAcentral is "partial 16S ribosomal RNA". It matches the Rfam family "Bacterial small subunit ribosomal RNA", at positions 509 to 807 of the family's 1533-position model. The record is from RNAcentral.